GAUCGACCAGAUCUGGUGUUGACGUGGGCGAGAGGGUCUGUUUGUGUGUUUCCACAGGACCAGAGGGAACCUCUUUGGGUGCCGGAGAGAUUGGUGAGACGCUGCAAGAAUGAGGCUCCUGAUCCAGUUGCCCCUGUGGAUGUGGUGGAUGAUCCCACAAGCACAAAGGAUGGAGCCGAGAUGAGAGAUCCUUUCGGUAUUCCAGAAGCCGAUACCAGCUCGACAUGA
Molecule: long non-coding RNA, 228 nt
Filed under: Mus musculus (house mouse)
Lineage: Eukaryota; Metazoa; Chordata; Mammalia; Rodentia; Muridae
Description: long non-coding RNA chrX:91503562-91503790
Source: RNAcentral